UACAGAGGUCCCGAGCGUUGUUCGGAUUCACUGGGCGUAAAGGGUGCGUAGGUGGUGAGGUAAGUCGGAUGUGAAAUCUCCAAGCUCAACUUGGAAAUGGCAUUGGAAACUACCUUGCUUGAGGACUGGAGAGGAGACUGGAAUUUACGGUGUAGCAGUGAAAUGCGUAGAGAUCGUAAGGAAGACCAGUGGCGAAGGCGGGUCUCUGGACAGUUCCUGACACUGAGGCACGAAGGCCAGGGGAGCAAACGGG
Molecule: ribosomal RNA, 253 nt
Filed under: uncultured bacterium
Lineage: Bacteria
Description: partial 16S ribosomal RNA
Rfam family: Bacterial small subunit ribosomal RNA
Source: RNAcentral